This 727-nucleotide ribosomal RNA is filed under the name Salmonella enterica. RNAcentral describes it as "partial 23S ribosomal RNA". It matches the Rfam family "Bacterial large subunit ribosomal RNA", at positions 2209 to 2925 of the family's 2925-position model. The record is from RNAcentral. Lineage: Bacteria; Pseudomonadati; Pseudomonadota; Gammaproteobacteria; Enterobacterales; Enterobacteriaceae.
AAUGGCUGGUGUUCUAACGUGGGCCCCUGACCGGGGUUGCGGACAGUGUCUGGUGGGUAGUUUGACUGGGGCGGUCUCCUCCUAAAGAGUAACGGAGGAGCACGAAGGUUGGCUAAUCCUGGUCGGACAUCAGGAGGUUAGUGCAAUGGCAUAAGCCAGCUUGACUGCGAGCGUGACGGCGCGAGCAGGUGCGAAAGCAGGUCAUAGUGAUCCGGUGGUUCUGAAUGGAAGGGCCAUCGCUCAACGGAUAAAAGGUACUCCGGGGAUAACAGGCUGAUACCGCCCAAGAGUUCAUAUCGACGGCGGUGUUUGGCACCUCGAUGUCGGCUCAUCACAUCCUGGGGCUGAAGUAGGUCCCAAGGGUAUGGCUGUUCGCCAUUUAAAGUGGUACGCGAGCUGGGUUUAGAACGUCGUGAGACAGUUCGGUCCCUAUCUGCCGUGGGCGCUGGAAGAUUGAGGGGGGCUGCUCCUAGUACGAGAGGACCGGAGUGGACGCAUCACUGGUGUUCGGGUUGUCAUGCCAAUGGCACUGCCCGGUAGCUACAUGCGGAAGAGAUAAGUGCUGAAAGCAUCUAAGCACGAAACUUGCCCCGAGAUGAAUCUUCCCUGAGCCUUUAAGGCUCCUGAAGGAACGUUGAAGACGACGACGUUGAUAGGCCGGGUGUGUAAGCGCAGCGAUGCGUUGAGCUAACCGGUACUAAUGAACCGUGAGGCUUAACCUUACAAC